Molecule: small RNA, 1642 nt
Filed under: Pan troglodytes (chimpanzee)
Lineage: Eukaryota; Metazoa; Chordata; Mammalia; Primates; Hominidae
Description: processed transcript
Source: RNAcentral
CUAUGCUACUUGCUGUCUUUGUAACUUGAAAAAGUUACUCAACUCCUUUUAGUAUCAGUCUGUCAUGGGUAAAUGAUUUGCUAUGAAGAAUACAGUAAAAGUUAUAGAAAAUGGAGAGAAAAAUCGAAUGACCUAUCAGAGUAUAGCAAUUGUUUUUGGUCCCACUCUAUUAAAACCAGAAAAAGAGACUGGUAAUAUAGCAGUUCAUACUGUGUACCAGAAUCAGAUUGUAGAAUUAAUUCUUCUGGAACUGAGUUCCAUCUUCGGACGUUGAUUCUUACUGAAGACAACCUGUGGAAUAGAAGCUGGAUUCCAUCAGAUUUCAAAUGUUUAUACACAGUGUAUUUUAUUUUUUGGACCAAGCAGUGACUCUUUGAUUUUGCACUUUUUUUUUUGAGGGAUCAGAAGGGAAGGGGAGAGUCGAGAUGUGUGUUAGGCCCUCAUAUUUGCUGCUUUGUUGCAAGUUGAUAUAACUGCAUGUAAUUAUGAAUUCAUUUUAUCCUGAAUGUUUGCAUUUCAUACUCUGAAUUUCAGUAAAAAUCAAAACUUAAAAUUCUAACCAGUCAUAUACACUGGAUAAUUUGGUAAGAAAACUGUAUUUUUUUUCCCUGAAAUUGGAUAAUGUACUUUCUUCUCAAGAUUCAUGACUUGAUAGAACAAUACUUUCAGUUAUGUUGCAAAGGCUCUUGGGCAUUUUAAACAAAAUGAAGUAUAUCCAUUUUGAAACCUGUGUAUUUCUUUUUCGGGGUUUCUGCAUGCAGUGGCAGUCUUAAGUGCCAAAAUUCAUUAUAACCCCAAAAUAACCCCUUGAUGAAGGCUUGCUGUCUUUUACUGUGUUACACAGCAUCCUUACUGGAUAUCUUAGUUGCUUGUUUGGGCAGCACACUAAUAUUACUUAAAACACUGUGAUAUACUGGAGUUUUAGUUAGUGGAAGUCAGUUCAGGGCAUUUUAGGGCUGUCUUGCUAUACUGAAUUGUAGCUAACAAUCCUAAUUAUAUCUAGUACCAUACUGAGUUAUUGGUAUGACCCUGUGGAAACACACAUUAUUUUAUGUAAAUAUAGGCUAAAGACUUAAUGUCCUUUAGCUUGUGUAUAUAAUUGUGUUGUAUAGUCUCAGAGUACAUUCUAACCCUACAUUUCUAAUCAUUGUUAUUGGUAAUCUUUUCUGUGAAUAUUAGGUUUCCUCCAGAAAUAGUCCGUUAUUUGGGAAAGUUAACUGUGUGCACUUUUAGAUAUUAACUACAUUUACAGGCAAAUCACUGUAAUGAGAAUGGUACUGGAAAAAUACUGAAUAGACUUUCUAAAUGGCACAUGCACUACAAGAGGAACCUUUUGGGUUAUUUAAUAUGUACAGAAAAUAUUAGAAAAAAUUUAUUACAGAAUUCUAAUUCCAGUAUGAAUAGUGGAAACCCAUCUGUAAAUUAGAUGGAUGUUGGGUGGAAAAUGACAUUGCUAAAUUUGAGAAUUUCUUUUUACCUACUAAUGUAGAUUGCUUUGUAUAAUAAAACACAGGGUUUGGAAGGUUUUGUUACAGGGAGCAUGGUCUGUUGAAGAUUUUUAAAAUGUAUUUUUCUAGAUUAACUUCUGUACCUGAAAUGUCUAAUAAAACUAUAAGAGGUUUAGAGAUUUUUCCAUUGGAAA